RNAcentral lists this ribosomal RNA (256 nucleotides) under uncultured bacterium. RNAcentral's name for it is "partial 16S ribosomal RNA". It matches the Rfam family "Bacterial small subunit ribosomal RNA", at positions 524 to 776 of the family's 1533-position model. The record is from RNAcentral.
UACGUAGGGUGCAAGCGUUGUCCGGAAUUAUUGGGCGUAAAGAGCUCGUAGGCGGUUUGUCGCGUCUGCCGUGAAAAUUCGAGGCUCAACCUCGAACUUGCGGUGGGUACGGGCAGACUAGAGUGUGGUAGGGGAGACUGGAAUUCCUGGUGUAGCGGUGAAAUGCGUAGAGAUCAGGAAGAACAUCGGUGGCGAAGGCGCUCUGCUGGACCAUAACUGACACUCAGGGGACGAAAAGCUAGGGGGAGCGAAUGGG